GAUGAACGCUGGCGGCGUGCCUAAUACAUGCAAGUCGAGCGAACAGACGAGGAGCUUGCUCCUCUGACGUUAGCGGCGGACGGGUGAGUAACACGUGUAUAACCUACCUAUAAGACUGGGAUAACUUCGGGAAACCGGAGCUAAUACCGGAUAAUAUAUUGAACCGCAUGGUUCAAUAGUGAAAGACGGUUUUUGUGUCUCUUCUAGAUGGAUCCGCGCCGCUUUGUCGAGUUGGGAAGUUAAAGGGUUAUCAAGGCAACGAGGCGUAGCCGACCUGUGAGGGGGGUCGGCCACCCUGGAACUGAGACACGGUCCAGACUCCUGCGGGAGGCAGCAGUAGGGAAUCUUCCGCAAUGGGCGAAAGCCUGACGGAGCAACGCCGCGUGAGUGAUGAAGGUCUUCGGAUCGUAAAACUCUGUUAUUAGGGAAGAACAAAUGUGUAAGUAACUAUGCACGUCUUGACGGUACCUAAUCAGAAAGCCACGGCUAACUACGUG
This 497-nucleotide ribosomal RNA is filed under the name uncultured bacterium. RNAcentral describes it as "partial 16S ribosomal RNA". It matches the Rfam family "Bacterial small subunit ribosomal RNA", at positions 28 to 507 of the family's 1533-position model. The record is from RNAcentral.